RNA transcript from Cucumis melo (muskmelon), 2783 nucleotides. It is a transcript of the gene named protein LAZ1, with no coding region annotated. The record is from RefSeq and is a predicted model, not a curated record. The transcript is spliced from 10 exons. NCBI's taxonomy places the organism in Eukaryota, Viridiplantae, Streptophyta, Magnoliopsida, Cucurbitales, Cucurbitaceae.
AUUCAAUAUAUUUUGGAUAUAUUUUGAAUUGGAAUUGGAAUAUUCUAAGAAAGAAAAAGAAAUCAAUGGAAAUAAUAGAAAAAAAAAGCGUAAAAAUAAUUGAAAAAACAGAUCCUCAAACAAACUAUGUUUUUUUUUCUUUGUGAACUCAAAGAUUUCACUUUUGUGCAAAAUUGAAGAAAGAAAUUGACGGAGGGAGAGCAAUUUCCUCGUGCCGCCGUCGCAAGUCGUUGCACCGCCGCUUGCCGGCGAGAUCAUAAUUCAUAUCUUCCAUCUCCUCCUCUCUCUACGCUGUUCCGAACCUUCAAAUGAUGAAUCCAAGAAAAUUCUUUCCGAUCCUAACGUCGACCACAAAGAUUUCGCCGUGAAAAGCUACGCCGAUUUGAAGAAUCGACCUACCGUUCAAGGAACGCCGGCGACCGGCCGCAACGGUGGAUGAUGUGCGUCAUUCUGACCGAGAGUGACGAAGAUCGCUAGCUCGAGCUUUGAUGGUGAAAGGGAUUGAUAUAAAGAGACGACAAGGAUAGAGGCGUAUUGGAAUUUGGAGGAUAGCAAUUUACAAAAUUUUCUUCCCCUCCGUUGUAGUGGGACGCUGACGGGACGCACGGGACUCCGAAGUCACGUGCCUUCCCCGUGCUUCUGCUGCACAGUUCUCUAGGGUUUAUUCCUGAUUCGGUUGAAUAAGGUAAUUGAGACUGUGGACUGAGGCUGUCAAGUGAAGAUAUUGACUUGUUUCAACAUAUCAAUGACCUACACACCUCCAACAUGGGCGACAUUAGCUGCUGCUGCAUUUGUUAUUCUGACUCUUGUCCUUUCACUGUAUCUGUUGUUCGAGCACCUCUCUGCAUAUAAGAAUCCGGAGGAGCAAAAGUUUUUGAUUGGUGUUAUCCUGAUGGUCCCAACUUAUGGUGUAGAAUCAUUUGUAUCAUUGGUGUACCCAUCAAUAAGUGUUUAUCUUGAGAUACUACGCGAUUGCUAUGAAUCCUUCGCAAUGUACUGCUUUGGACGAUACCUGGUUGCUUGCUUGGGCGGAGAAGAAGGAACUAUUGCAUUUUUAGAGAGAGAAGGACGUUCAAAUACUAAGACGCCUUUAUUAGAACAUAGCUCAGAAAAGGGAACCAUCAAACAUGUUUUCCCUAUGAACCUUUUCUUAAAGCCGUGGAAAAUUGGUGGAUGGGUUUACCAUGUUAUCAAAAUUGGAAUCGUCCAAUAUAUGAUGAUAAAGUCCCUCACUUCUAUUUUAGCUGUAGUUCUUGAGAACUUUGGUGUUUAUUGUGAAGGAGACUUUAAUUUCAAAUGCGGGUAUCCUUAUAUGGCAGUGGUUUUAAAUUUCAGUCAAACAUGGGCACUGUACUGCCUGAUUCAGUUCUAUACAGUUACAAAGGAUGAAUUGGUACAUAUAAAGCCCUUGGCCAAAUUUUUGAUGUUUAAAUCUAUAGUAUUUUUGACUUGGUGGCAAGGUGUUGGAAUUGCUCUCCUAUCUGCCUUCGAUUUGUUCAGGAGUCCUGUAGCCCAAGGGUUACAGUUUAAGUCAAGUGUCCAAGAUUUCAUCAUUUGUAUAGAGAUGGCCAUUGCUUCAGUGAUUCACUUGUAUGUAUUUACUGCAAAACCCUAUGAACUUAUGGGGGACCGUUAUCCUGGAAGUGUUUCUGUUCUUGGCGAUUAUGCAUCCGUUGACUGUCCUUUAGAUCCAGAUGAGGUCCGGGAUAGCGAGCGUCCUACAAAGUUACGCCUACCCCAACCUGACCUUGAAGACCAAGACCCCAAAAUGGGAAUGACAAUCAAAGAGAGUGUUCGAGAUGUUUUUGUUGGUGGUGGGGGCUAUAUUGUUAGCGACCUGAAAUUCACAGUACACCAAGCAGUCGAACCUAUGGAAAAAGGAAUAACAAAGUUCAACGAAAAACUACAGAAGCUCUCCCAAAACAUUAAGAAACGUGACAAGGAUAAAAGAAGAACCAAGGAUGACAGUUGUAUCACAUCGCCCACACGAAAACUCAUUCGAGGAAUCGAUGACCCCCUUUUGAAUGGGAGCUUUAGUGAUAGUGGGGUUGUAAGAGAAAAGAAGAACCGUCGUAAAUCAGGUUAUAUAAGUGCAGAAAGUGGUGGAGAAAGCAGCAGUGAUUACGGUUAUGGCAAGUACCAAGUUGGGGGCCGCCGGUGGAUCACCAAAGACUAGUAAAGAAUAGGUAACUGCUGUUUAUAAUCAAAUCAAGAGAAAAAAAGAGGGGUGGGGUUGUGGUUCACUUAUCAAGUGGAGUCCUAAUAGACGAGAGAUGUGUAUUGAGUUGUUGCAUAUGCCUGAAUUUGUGAAGCCUCUUCAAAUGAAUGUUGUGUGGCGUAGCAAUCAAGGGAAGAUUCCAAUAGAAAACUCCUGCUAUGAUGAUGUGUGCAACCAAAUGCUAAGGUAAAGCCUUUUUUGGUGCGAAGAGGAUUUAAAUGGACUCUAUGAUGAGUGAAGGAAGUUUAAAGUUACAAAGCUGCAUUAUUUUCAUUGGAAUCAUCGAUGUGAAUUAAUGCUACCGGAGGAGACUGAUUAUCUCAUAGGGUUUGAUUAUAAACAAGAAGAGUUUAUAUUAUAUUCUAUGCAGAAAAUAGAUAGAUCACUUACGUUUAGUUUAGUUUUGUUUAUGCGGUAGUAUUGUAUAACUUAGAUGGAAAAUGGAUGAAAUAAUCAUUAUGAGUUUGAUGAGAUAAGAUAAUCCUCCUAACCAAGAGGUCGUCAUGAUUUCAAUCCAGGGUGGUCAUCUACUUAUAAAUUAAUUUCAUAUCGAGUUUUUUCAUUA